RNAcentral lists this long non-coding RNA (1118 nucleotides) under Bos indicus x Bos taurus (hybrid cattle). Its description in RNAcentral is "lncRNA (ENSBIXG00000018011.1)". Lineage: Eukaryota; Metazoa; Chordata; Mammalia; Artiodactyla; Bovidae. The record is from RNAcentral.
AUGAAACAAGAAGUGGAUGAGAGUGGAGAUGGGAGGGCAACCAUCCACACUCUGCAACCGGGCAAUGAUGUUCUCUUUGGAUCUCCCAGCUUCUCUGGAAGGGAGGAGGCAGAACAAAAUGAGACAAGCUUCACUUUACAAACAGCAAGACAGAGGUUCAAAGAAAGACUGGCCUUGCUCUCACCGUUUAAUGCAGCAGUCUUGUCUGGGCAUUCCUGUAUUGAAGAAAAUUUUAAGCUUGAAGUGUAUCUUUUUAUUCAUUUCUUUCUAAGUGAUAUAUACUUGUUUCACUGUAAUACAUUAUGUACAUUAUAGAGCAUACACUAAAAAUAGAGAUUUUGUAAGGAUGAGUUUAACAUUCAUUUUCUUCUCACAGAUUAGCAUGUGUUCUCUCUGCUUUGGAAACCACUGAAUUAUUGAGUGGGGUGUGGGAGUAAGGGGGCAGAUCCUUAGGUUCCCUUCAGCAUAUUCAUUUGAUCACUCUGCCUCUCACCAGUUUUCAAAAGUAAAUAACUUUGUUUGUGCAAAGGAGCACAUGCCAGGCACUGCUUAUACUCAGGGUCACUGUAUCAUCUCGCUAGUAUCUCCCUCAGGACAAGACAUUAAACACAAACAUAUGGACUUUCUUUCCUUUUGGCUUGGCAGUAGCUUUCCCAAGGGUACCAGUGGUCAAACACUUCUGGUUGAACUGGAAUUACACUCUCCAGUAUCGUUGCAUGUUGCAGUUAAAUAUCACAGAAGAAAAUAAUCAAGUGAUGGUGAUGAGUUCAGCAUGAAACGUUUUGGUCUCUGUAGCUCCUUGUUGUUCAGUCUCUAAGUCGUUUCUGACUCUUUGAGAUCUCACAGCCUGCAGCAUGCCAGGCUUCCCUCUCCUUUUCUGUUUCCCAGAGUAGCUCCUUGUAAGUGAUCAUAAAUGUGUGGGAUAAACUAGGGCAGAGGUCUCCCCACAACAGAUAUUUGGGAGCAAGCAUUCAUUUUUAAGUUCAAUAAUUCUUUUUGUUUCACUUCAGUUUGUUUUUAUUUGUAUUAAAUUUGAAUUAAAUUAAAAUGGAUUCUUCCUUUUUAAGACAGUAAAUAUAAUAUGACCCAAUGUUAUAAAAACAUCUCUAUCUAUUCUG